Molecule: small nuclear RNA, 223 nt
Filed under: Jaculus jaculus (lesser Egyptian jerboa)
Lineage: Eukaryota; Metazoa; Chordata; Mammalia; Rodentia; Dipodidae
Description: 7SK RNA (ENSJJAG00000004021.1)
Rfam family: 7SK RNA
About the family: 7SK was discovered as an abundant small nuclear RNA in the mid-70s but a possible function has only recently been suggested. Two independent studies have found that 7SK RNA binds the CDK9/cyclin T complex (known as elongation factor P-TEFb).
Source: Rfam by way of RNAcentral
GAGUGUUGGUUAGUGGGUGUCACCUUCUAACCUAACCGAUCUAUGUGCACCCUCCCAAAGCUACAUGCUAGGUGGAAGAGGACAACCUCCCCUGAAUAGAGGAGGGCUGGUCUUUGGUCAAGGGUAUCUGAGUAGCUGUGUUCCCCUGCUAGAACCCCCUGACAAGCUCUCAAGUACUAGGGGCUUGAACCCAGGCCAAAAGGCUUUGAAAGGAAGCUCCUUU